Molecule: unclassified non-coding RNA, 285 nt
Filed under: plant metagenome
Description: partial contains small subunit ribosomal RNA, internal transcribed spacer 1, and 5.8S ribosomal RNA
Rfam family: Eukaryotic small subunit ribosomal RNA (bases 1-54)
Source: RNAcentral
GGAAGUAAAAGUCGUAGCAAGGUUUCCGUAGGUGAACCUGCGGAAGGAUCAUUAUUGUAUAACCGAGGUGCGAGGGCUGUCGCUGACCCGAAAGGUCGUGCACGCCCGAGUGCCCUCACACACAUCCAUCUCACCCCUAUGUGCACCACCGCGUGGGUCCCCCUUUGGCUUGUUCGGAGGGGGGCUUACGUUUUCACACAAACUUUGUAUGCAGUGUAGAAUGUAUUUUUUGUUUUUGCGAUCACGCAAUCAAUACAACUUUCAACAACGGAUCUCUUGGCUCUC